UUAGGGUAAAGGGGGAGCUUGCUCCCGGAUGUUAGCGGCGGACGGUGUUUAGUAACACGUGGGUAACCUGCCUGUAAGACUGGGAUAACUCCGGGAAACCGGAGCUAAUACCGGAUAGUUCCUUGAACCGCAUGGUUCAAGGAUGAAAGACGGUUUCGGCUGUCACUUACAGAUGGACCCGCGGCGAUUAGCUAGUUGGUGGGGUAAUGGCUCACCAAGGCGACGAUGCGUAGCCGACCUGAGAGGGUGAUCGGCCACACUGGGACUGAGACACGGCCCAGACUCCUACGGGAGGCAGCAGUAGGGAAUCUUCCGCAAUGGACGAAAGUCUGACGGAGCAACGCCGCGUGAGUGAUGAAGGUUUUCGGAUCGUAAAGCUCUGUUGUUAGGGAAGAACAAGUGCGAGAGUAACUGACUCGCACCUUGACGGUACCUAACCAGAAAGCCACGGCUAACUACGUGCCAGCAGCCG
This 472-nucleotide ribosomal RNA is filed under the name Bacillus safensis. Its description in RNAcentral is "bacterial SSU rRNA". It matches the Rfam family "Bacterial small subunit ribosomal RNA", at positions 62 to 517 of the family's 1533-position model. Lineage: Bacteria; Bacillati; Bacillota; Bacilli; Caryophanales; Bacillaceae. The record is from RNAcentral.